ACUCAAGAUGGCGAAACCUCGGCCGCCGCGGCUAUAUUCGCCGCGGCGUCACUGCCUUCCUGGCCUGGUGGUGAGAGGAAGUCGGGCCGCGAAAGCUUCCUGAGGAGAAAAUGGAGGGCCCUUCUCUCACACCGACGAGAAAAGUUCGAGGGGGAAAUACGAGUUCCUUUCUGAAGGGACAGGACGGCUGCUUUUCCACAGCCGCGACGUGAUUGAGAAAUGGUGGCUGGCAAGGGUAGGCCUGCCUUCGCCCCUCCAAAGUAAAAAUCGGGAGUUGAGACCAGAGGAACAUCUCUUUAUUACAUGACUAAGGAUAUGUUUUGAAAACUGGCCCCCGGGCAGCUGCUCGGGGACAGGAAGCUGACCUGACUUCUCCAGCUGGCCGGGGAGGCUGAUGCCGGGCCUAAGGGGCCGCGUCCGAGCCUCUCGGGGCGCGCCUCCAUGCAGGAAGGCGCGGAACUAGCGACCCGGAGACGCCGGGCGCGCGUCUGAGUGUGGGGGCAGGAAGGGG
This 511-nucleotide long non-coding RNA is filed under the name Homo sapiens (human). RNAcentral describes it as "non-protein coding lnc-CXCR5-1:7". Lineage: Eukaryota; Metazoa; Chordata; Mammalia; Primates; Hominidae. The record is from RNAcentral.